GGCUUAAAGCGGUGGAGCUGGACGGAAAUUCUUCCUUUACACGGAAGAUGUCGGCGGUUCGAGCCCGUCAGCGCCCACCA
This 80-nucleotide transfer RNA is filed under the name Sphingomonas sp. SCN 67-18. RNAcentral describes it as "tRNA-Val". The record is from RNAcentral. Lineage: Bacteria; Pseudomonadati; Pseudomonadota; Alphaproteobacteria; Sphingomonadales; Sphingomonadaceae.